CACACAGGGGGCCAUCGGGGUGGUCACGGAGGGGCUGCGGAGUGUAGUGAUCAGGGGACAAGGGUCCCAGGCGCAGCUGCCUGCCCUAAGCAAAUAGCCCAGCUCUCUGGGGUUUGGUUGGGCCAGUCAGUGGACUGAGGGGCAAGUGUGCAGAAUCUUCAGGAGCGGGCCGGCCCAGCGGCUUUCAGUGAUAAGGCGUCGAGGCUGGUGGGUCCUGGCCCUGGGCACUGAGUGGGGUAGACCACCCCCCUCUGCCUCCCCGGCAACACGGGUUGCAGGGAACACCCGCCCAGGCUUGUAGGCCAGAGACACCGAGGCAGCAACAGGUUUGAGAGUGCUUUGAAGAGAAGCUGUUGUUGUGGGGGGACCUGGCAUUUCCAGUGACUCUGCCUGGAGGCUCGGGUGACAGCAGUGACUGGGCCACUCCUCUCAGGAGUGCUGUUCUGAGGAGCCUGGCACGGAAGCGGCCCAGUAGAGAGGAGGCAGAGGAGGUAGCCGGAAAGGGCUGGGCCUUCCUGCCAUGCCCUGGCUCCAGCGUUCUGGCAGGGGGCGCACACUGGUUUCUGGGGGGCUUUUCUAGUUGCUGUUCUGUGAACUAGCAGUUACUACCCCCUACACCACCCCCGGCCCACAGUGAGAACCCCCUACCCACGGUGGAGAUCGCCAUCAGGAACACAGGUGAUGCUGACCAGUGGUGCCCCCUGCUGGAGACUCUGACAGACGCUGAGAUGGAAAAGAAGAUCCGCGACCAGGACAGGAACACAAGGCGUAUGAGGCGUCUUGCCAACACUGCCCCAGCCUGGUAACCAGCCCAUCGGUGCAUGGCUCCCACGGAGCGUUCGGAAGAUGGGACCGCCUCUCCUUCAUCUUCUGGCAAGCAGGAAGGCAAAGGGGGCAGGCCGGGGCCAUGAGGAGCUCCAUGAGGAGCAUGGGGUGUUGGGAGGGCUUCCGGUCACCCUUUGGUGGGCACACAUUCCAUUUGUUGAGCCCAGUCCCCACCCAAGUCUCUGGUCAGAAAGAGGCCUCGUUUUUGGGUUGUGUUUUGUUUUUGUAUAGGAGCCCCAGGUAGGGCUAGCAACACUUUUUAAAUAAAGACAACAGGUCAUGUUCCAUUUUUUCAAA
Ailuropoda melanoleuca (giant panda) is the source of this 1122-nucleotide RNA transcript. RefSeq lists it as uncharacterized. The transcript is spliced from 2 exons. Lineage: Eukaryota; Metazoa; Chordata; Mammalia; Carnivora; Ursidae. The record is from RefSeq and is a predicted model, not a curated record.